UCAAUCCGACACAGGUGUGCUAGGCGAGUAUCCGAAGGCGUUCGGGAGAACCCUCGUGAAGGAACUCGGCAAAAUGACCCCGUACCUUCGGUACAAGGGGUGCUCUCCGUAAGGAGAGCCGCAGAGAAUCGGCUCUAGCGACUGUUUAUCAAAAACACAGGACUCUGCCAACUCGCAAGAGGACGUAUAGAGUCUGACGCCUGCUCGGUGUCGGUAGGUUAAGGGAGCCGAUGAGGCGCGAGCCGAAGUUGGCGACCGAAGCCCCGAUAAACGGCGGCCGUAACUAUGACGGUCCUAAGGUAGCGAAGUUCCUUGUCGGGUAAGUUCCGACCUGCAUGAAUGGCGUAACGACUGGAGCACUGUCUCCACGAGGGACCCGGUGAAACUGUAGCCGUGGUGAAGAUGCCACGUACCCGCGGUCAGACGGAAAGACCCCGUGAACCUUUACUGCAGGUUGGCAUUGGGUCAGCGUCCUUUCUGUGUAGCAUAGGUGGGAGGCCGUGAUCCGGCGGCGCCAGCCGUCGGGGAGCCAUCGGUGAAAUACCACCCUGAAAUGACUCUGAUCCUCACCGGUCCGUAGCCCGGACCGGGACCAUGCUCAUCGGGCAGUUUGACUGGGGCGGUCUCCUCCCAAAGUGUAACGGAGGAGUGCAAUGGUACCCUCGGCCAGGUCGGCAAUCUGGCAACAUGAGCGCAAACGUAGAAGGGUGCCUGACUGCGAGACCCAUCAGUCGAGCAGGGACAAAAGUCGGCGUUAGUGAUCCGGCGGUGCUGGAUGGAAAGGCCGUCGCUCAACAGAUAAAAGGUACUCCGGGGAUAACAGGCUGAUCUCCCCCGAGCGUCCAUAGCGGCGGGGAGGUUUGGCACCUCGAUGUCGGCUCAUCGCAUCCUGGGGCUGGAGAAGGUCCCAAGGGUUUGGCUGUUCGCCAAUGAAAGCGGUACGCGAGCUGGGUUCAGACCGUCGUGAGACAGGUCGGUCCCUAUCUGCCGUGGACGGAGGAAACUUGCGAAGGGUCUCCCCUAGUACGAGAGGAUUGGGGAGGACCGACCUCUGGUGUACCGGCUGUCCCGCUCGGGGCACCGCCGGGUAGCUAGGUCGGGAAAGGAUAAGCGCUGAAGGCAUCUAAGCGCGAAGCCCUCUUCAAGACGAGGUUUACAGCUCGCAAGUGCGAAGGCUCCUGGAAGACGACCAGGUCGAUAGGCCGGGAGUGCACGGCGAGCGAUCGCCGCAGCCGACCGGUCCUAACAGCCUAUCGCUUGACCAC
RNAcentral lists this ribosomal RNA (1265 nucleotides) under metagenome. RNAcentral's name for it is "bacterial LSU rRNA". It matches the Rfam family "Bacterial large subunit ribosomal RNA", at positions 1649 to 2925 of the family's 2925-position model. The record is from RNAcentral.